Molecule: ribosomal RNA, 89 nt
Filed under: Mesocricetus auratus (golden hamster)
Lineage: Eukaryota; Metazoa; Chordata; Mammalia; Rodentia; Cricetidae
Source: RNAcentral
CAGAAGUGCCAUACUACCCUGAAUGUGCCCGAUCUCGUCGGAUCUCAGAAGCUAAACAGAAAUUGAAACCCUGGUGGAGGUUCUUUUAU